Long non-coding RNA from Amphibalanus amphitrite, 1198 nucleotides. RefSeq lists it as uncharacterized. Lineage: Eukaryota; Metazoa; Arthropoda; Thecostraca; Balanomorpha; Balanidae. The record is from RefSeq and is a predicted model, not a curated record. The transcript has 2 exons.
AGCAGCAGCAGCAGCGGAGCGCGGCGGAGAGCCAGCUCAUCGAAGCGACGGAAGGAUGGUGCCGCGGCUCUGGGGGCGGCGGCGCUAGACUCGGCCGUGCCCGCUGGCUCACUGUCCGGCGCCGCGGGCCGCUGAGCCAGCCGGAGCUCAGCGGUUCACCUCAGCAGGCCGGCAGGACACGUCUGUCAGUCAGUCACCAGACGUCUGGCCAGAAGCGGCCGACUCCGGCGGUGCCCUGGCGUGUCAACCGAGCCGCGGCCGGACGGCCGUCGCCCCCUCGCCGCCAGUGCCGUCCAAGUUUGUCUGCAAUGAGAUACGGGAACCGACUACGAGAGCGCCCUAGAGGGCGGCACCGGCGCGCCGGCAGCCCGGCGGGUGGAGUACCGCGCCGGCAGCGCCGGGCCCGCCGCCGCCGGCCGCGGCCGCUCGCCCACGCCGCCGUCCCGGUUCGAGUCGCCGGCGGCGGCCCGGUCCCAGCCGGCUGACGGGGGGCGCUUCAGACGGAGCCCGACUGUGAGCCGGGGCCGGCUCCGUGCGGCAGACGUCCAGCCCGAGCAGCCGGCUGGGCCGGCGGACCACCGCCGCCGGGCACGGAGUGAGCCACCGAUCCAGGGAAUGAGUCUGUCGGUGGCGGUGGAAUAUAGAGAGGAUCCGGACGGACGAAGGAUGGCCAUGGAGGACUGGAGAGCCGCGGUGACGGCGCUGGUUCACCGUGGGAGGUUCGCCGCCGCGCUGUCCGUGUGCUGGAUACCGUGCACCGCUCCGGAGCCGGGCUUAACAGGGCCGGUACCGGCCCGCACCCGCCCAGGGCGGCACGCUGCCAGCGCCGCCCGAGGAGAACGGGAGCAGCGGCAACACUGGCGGGCCUUGGAGCAUCGGCGGCCACGCCGGCCUCCAGAGUGGGUGCUCGGACUCGGGGCCCUGUUUCACGGCCGCUGCUAGCGCGCUGCCAGCACACGUGUCAAAUUGAGUUUCCAUGGAGACAUCAACAAACUCGUAUCUCCAACACGGCCACAGUUUGUGACGUCAGGUCGCGAAAUCCGCUGGCAGCGUGAUAGCAGCGUCCAGUGAAACACCGCUCUGCAGUCACUGAGACAGAAAGAAUAAUAUUCAAGCAUCGAUAAAUGCACCAUUAGUAACCUUGAAAGAGCAAUAGUUUAUUUUUUUACGGUGAAUAAAACAUAGGCAGUUGAAAAUA